CCUGACCGAGAACAAACUCCACUCGCCCCAAUUAGCCCAUAAAACGAGCGUGCGGGCACUAAACCAACCACAGGGGCAAGAUGCACGAGCCAAGGAUCCCGCUACAGGUCCCUCUUGGUUGUUGCCCCAAAUGCCAUCGAUAGCAUCUGGCCCUUGGUUGGUCAAGACUGGGAAUGCACUAUGUAUGCCUAAGUCAACCCACAAAACAAGUGUGCGGGCACUAAGCUGGUCGGAGAGCCAGAAUACACAAGCUAGGGAUCGACCCAGUCCCCCUCGAUGUGCUACGGAUCCUGCUAGAAAUCCCUCGGUCUGGUUGGGGCUUGAGACUAGGAAUAAACUUUGUAUGCCUAAGUCAACCCACAAAACAAACGUGCAGGUGUUGAGCUGACCAGAAAGGCAGAAUGCGCAAGCCAAGGAUUGGCCUGAUCCCUUUUUGGGUGAUGCUGAUCCUGCUACAGGUCCCUCGAUCCGACUGUGGCUUAGACUGGGAAUGAACUCUGUAUGCCUAAGUCAACCCAUGAAACAAGUGUGCGGGCACUGAGCCGACCAUAGAGGUAGGAUGUGCAAGUCAAGGAUCGACUCGGUUCUCUUUUACGUGCUGUCGAUCCUGCUGUGGGUCCUGCUACCUCAACUUUGGUUCAGUCUGAGCUUAACUGUGAAUGAACUCCGUAUGCUUAAAUAGGAAUAAACUUCGUUUGCCUAAGUCAACCACGAAAUUGAGGGUACGAGCACUGAGUCGACUAGAGAGGUAGGAUGCGCAAGCUGAGGUUAGCCCAGUCCCUUCUGCUUACUAUCGAUCUUGCUGCAGGUUCUGCUACCAUAACCCUUGGUUCAGUCUGAUCUUAAACUGGGAAUGAACUUUGUACGCCUAAGUCAACCUACGAAACAAGCGGGUGGGGCACUACGUCGAACAGAAAGGCAAGAUGCGCAAGCUGAGGAUUGGUCGGGUUCCCCUCUGUUUGCUGUCGAUCCUGCUGCCACAACCCUCAGUCUUAUCAGAGCUUAGAUUGGGAAUGAACUCCAUAUGCCAAAGCCAUUUUUGUGGGCCAUGAAUUCAUAUGAGCCCUCCCUAACUCUCGCGCACCAUGCGUGGGUGUCCUGAGCUCGGGCCGAGCACCAAUGCAUGCCAUGAUCAGGUGGUAGGUGGGUUUAGGCACAUCUUCAUAUUUCUGUCAUGCCAAUACUAUUUUUAUGGCCUAUGAAAUCACAUAAGUACUCCCUAAUGCCCAAACACCACGCACGGGUGUCUUGAGCCUGAGUCGAGCACUAUACGUGCCACGAUCGGGUGGUAGGUGGGUUUAGGCACAUCUAGAAACGACUCAAUCGGAGGUAGGGUCCAAUGGUCGAAAGAGCAUCGCAUGUCGCAUGGUGUCCGGUGCACCCUUGAUAGCCCUUGAAAAUCCAAAGGAUCGAGUGCCGUCUGUGCCCGGUCCUACUCAUAAUCACAUCAGGUCUCCAAGGUGAAUAGCCUAAGGUCGAUGAACAAAAUAGGCAAGGGAAGUCAACAAAAUGGAUCCAUAACCUUGAAGAAAAGAUUUUGCUCUGAGGGUUGGGAACAGAGGUCCUAGGCCCAAACCCAUUGGUUGUUGGUGCACUGUUCAAGCUACUCUCGUGGUGAGAGCAAGUCAUCACGUGUCAGUCGGGGGGACAGAUUGGAACGGCUCCCUCUGGGCCUUUUUCGGGGUGAAUGAACAGUCGACUUUAGAACUGAUAUGAAAAAGGGGAAUCUGACUGUUUAAUAAAACAAAGCAUUAUGAUGGUCCCUGUGGAUGCUCAUGCAAUGUGAUUUUGCCCAGUGCUCUGAAUGUUUAAAGUGAAGAAAUUCAACCAAGCAUGGGUAAACAGCUGGGAGUAACUAUGACUCUGUUAAGGUAGCCAAAUGCCUCGUCAUCUAAUUAGUGACAUGCAUGAAUGGAUUAACGAGAUUCCCACUAUCCCUAUCUACUAUCCAAUGAAACCAUAGCCAAGGGAACGGGCUUGAUAGAAUUAGUGAGGAAAGAAGACCCUGUUGAGUUUGACUUUAGUCUGACUUUGUGAAAUGACUUGAGAGGUGUAGGAUAAGUGGAAGCCCCCGGGCGAAAUUGAAAUACCAUUACUUCUAACUUUAUUUUACUUAUUUCAUGAAUCAGAGGUAGGGCACGACCCCUUGUUUUAGAUCGAAGGCCAACCUCGAGCUGUCGAUCCAACGGUAGACAUUGUCAGGUGGGGAGUUUGGCUGGGACGAGACAUCUGUUAAAAGAUAAUGCAGGUGUCCUAAGAUGAGCUCAACGAGAAUAAAAAUCUCAUGUGGAACAAAAGCGUAAAAACUCAUUUGAUUCUGAUUUCCAAUAUGAAUAUGAACCAUGAAAGCGUGGCCUAUCGAUCCUUUAGACCUUCGAGAUUUGAGAGGUGUCAGAAAAGUUACCACAGGGAUAACUGGCUUGUGGCAGCCAAGCGUUCAUAGCGACGUUGCUUUUUGAUCCUUCGAUGUCGGCUCUUCCUAUCAUUGUGAAGUAGAAUUCACCAAGUGUUGGAUUGUUCACCCACAAAUAGGGAACGUGAGUUAGAUUUAGAUCAUUGAAAGACAGGUUAGUUUUACCUUACUGAUGGUGACAUCAUGAUAGUAAUUCAACCUAGUACGAGACGAACCAUUGAUUCGCACAAUUGGUCAUCACGCUUGGUUGAAAAGCUAGUGGCACGAAGCUACCAUGCACUGGAUUAUGACUGAACACCUCUAAGUUAAAAUCUGGGCUAAAAGCAACAUGCUCAUCCACCACCCAACUGUUGACCCACAGUAGAGUCUCAUGGCCCCAAAAGGCACAUGCUGGAGGUGCACCCCCAUGGCGGACGAGCCUCGCGGGCCUCUUUAAAGCUCAAUUCCCAUCGAGUGAUGGGUAAAAUCCUUUAUAGAUGACUUAAAUACGUGAUGGGGUAUUGUAAGUGACAUAGUGGCCUUGCUACCACGAUCCACUGAGAUUUAGCCCUUUGUCACUUCAGUUCGUCCCUCCCUC
Molecule: ribosomal RNA, 2990 nt
Filed under: Durio zibethinus
Lineage: Eukaryota; Viridiplantae; Streptophyta; Magnoliopsida; Malvales; Malvaceae
Description: eukaryotic LSU rRNA
Rfam family: Eukaryotic large subunit ribosomal RNA (bases 838-2981)
Source: RNAcentral